UAGGCUGGAUCCAUGUAUGC
This 20-nucleotide non-coding RNA is filed under the name Rattus norvegicus (Norway rat). Lineage: Eukaryota; Metazoa; Chordata; Mammalia; Rodentia; Muridae. The record is from RNAcentral.